Molecule: transfer RNA, 70 nt
Filed under: Dipodomys ordii (Ord's kangaroo rat)
Lineage: Eukaryota; Metazoa; Chordata; Mammalia; Rodentia; Heteromyidae
Rfam family: tRNA
About the family: Transfer RNA (tRNA) molecules are approximately 80 nucleotides in length. Their secondary structure includes four short double-helical elements and three loops (D, anti-codon, and T loops). Further hydrogen bonds mediate the characteristic L-shaped molecular structure. tRNAs have two regions of fundamental functional importance: the anti-codon, which is responsible for specific mRNA codon recognition, and the 3' end, to which the tRNAs corresponding amino acid is attached (by aminoacyl-tRNA synthetases). tRNAs cope with the degeneracy of the genetic code in two manners: having more than one tRNA (with a specific anti-codon) for a particular amino acid; and 'wobble' base-pairing, i.e. permitting non-standard base-pairing at the 3rd anti-codon position.
Source: Rfam by way of RNAcentral
GGAAAUAUGGCUUAGCGGUAGAGUGCUUGCAUAGCAUGCAUGAAGCCCUGGGUUCAAUUCCUCAGUACCA